Molecule: ribosomal RNA, 253 nt
Filed under: uncultured bacterium
Lineage: Bacteria
Description: partial 16S ribosomal RNA
Rfam family: Bacterial small subunit ribosomal RNA
Source: RNAcentral
UACAGAGGUCCCAAGCGUUGUUCGGAUUCAUUGGGCGUAAAGGGUGCGUAGGUGGCGGGGUAAGUUGGAUGUGAAAUCUCGGGGCUCAACCCCGAAACUGCAUUCAAUACUGCUCUGCUCGAGUACUGGAGAGGAGAUCGGAAUUUACGGUGUAGCAGUGAAAUGCGUAGAUAUCGUAAGGAAGACCAGUGGCGAAGGCGGAUCUCUGGACAGUUCCUGACGCUGAGGCGCGAAGGCCAGGGGAGCAAACGGG